AGUGAACGCUGGCGGUAGGCCUAACACAUGCAAGUCGAACGGCAGCACAGUAAGAGCUUGCUCUUACGGGUGGCGAGUGGCGUACGGGUGAGGAGUACAUCGUAAUCUACUUUUUCGUGGGGGAUAACGUAGGGAAACUUACGCUAAUACCGCAUACGACCUACGGGUGAAAGCAAGGGAUCUUCGGACCUUGCGCUAUUGAAUGAGCCGAUGUCGGAUUAGCUAGUUGGCGGGGUAAAGGCCCACCAAGGCGACGAUCCGUAGCUGGUCUGAGAGGAUGAUCAGCCACACUGGAACUGAGACACGGUCCAGACUCCUACGGGAGGCAGCAGUGGGGAAUAUUGGACAAUGGGCGCAAGCCUGAUCCAGCCAUACCGCGUAGGUGAAGAAGGCCUUCGGGUUGUAAAGCCCUUUUGUUGGGAAAGAAAAGCAGCAGGUUAAUACCCCGCUGUUCUGACGGUACCCAAAGAAUAAGCACCGGCUAACUUCGUG
Molecule: ribosomal RNA, 492 nt
Filed under: uncultured bacterium
Lineage: Bacteria
Description: partial 16S ribosomal RNA
Rfam family: Bacterial small subunit ribosomal RNA
Source: RNAcentral